UAAUACAUAGGGUGCAAGCGUUGUCCGGAAUUAUUGGGCGUAAAGAGCUCGUAGGUCGUUUGCCACGUCGAUUGUGAAAAUCUGAGGCUCAACCUCAGACCUGCAGUCGAUACGGGCAAACUAGAGUGUGGUAGGGGAGACUGGAAUUCCUGGUGUAGCGGUGGAAUGCGCAGAUAUCAGGAGGAACACCAAUGGCGAAGGCAGGUCUCUGGGCCAUAACUGACACUGAGGAGCGAAAGCGCGGGGAGCGAACAGG
RNAcentral lists this ribosomal RNA (256 nucleotides) under uncultured archaeon. RNAcentral describes it as "partial 16S ribosomal RNA". It matches the Rfam family "Bacterial small subunit ribosomal RNA", at positions 521 to 776 of the family's 1533-position model. The record is from RNAcentral.